RNAcentral lists this ribosomal RNA (1058 nucleotides) under Lebouridinium glaucum. RNAcentral describes it as "LSU rRNA". It matches the Rfam family "Eukaryotic large subunit ribosomal RNA", at positions 23 to 964 of the family's 3401-position model. Lineage: Eukaryota; Dinophyceae; Gymnodiniales. The record is from RNAcentral.
ACCCGCUGAAUUUAAGCAUAUAAGUAAGCGGAGGAUAAGAAACUAAAUAGGAUUCCCCUAGUAAUGGCGAAUGAACAGGGAACAGCUCAGCAUGAAAAUCGGGGCCUCUGGCCUUGAAUUGUAGUCUCGAGAGGUAUUGCCAAUGGAGGCGCAGAUGUAAGCUCUUGGAAAAGAGCACCGGCGAGGGUGAGAGUCCCGUUUGUCAUUUGCAGCCCUCUGUGUACGGUAUGCCUUCUAUGAGUCACGUUCCUCGGGAUUGGAGCGCAAAGUGGGUGGUAAAUUUCAUCUAAAGCUAAAUAUAGGUUCGAGACCGAUAGCAAACAAGUACCAUGAGGGAAAGGUGAAAAGGACUUUGAAAAGAGAGUUAAAAGUGCCUGAAAUCGCUGAAGGGGAAGCGAAUGGACCCAGUUUGUCUUGGCGGGAUUUGGCGCAUGCUAUGGUGAUGGCUUCUCACAUCAGCGCAAGCGUUGUGGGGGGUUCUGAGCCUGCCGCGUGUGUUGCUGCCUGCCUUGCGUGUCAACGUCGGUUCAAGGUUGGAGAAGACUCUGGGGAGGUGGUAAUUCGCCCGCGGGUGUUUGAACACUGCCCGGUAGAAUCCAGCUCUGGACUGAAGCUUGCGUUGGGAUGCUCGCUGCGUUCGUCGUUCGUGCCCGCUUGCUUGUCGCGCGUAGCUUCUGUUGCGCCGGCCGGUGAGUGUGGUGUGUGCGUCAGCGUAGUUAGCCCCAUCAAAGACGAUGACGAAAUGGUUUCAUCCGACCCGUCUUGAAACACGGACCAAGGAGUCUAACAUAUGUGCGAGUUCACGGGCGGUAAACCUGCUAGCGCAAUGAAAGUGACUGCUGGGAUAUUUGCACCAGCAACCGACUGAUCAACUGAGUGAGGUUUGAGUAUGAGCAUAUCUGUUAGGACCCGAAAGAUGGUGAACUAUGCUUGUGUAGGGUGAAGUCAGGGGAAACUCUGAUGGAGGCUCGUAGCGAUACUGACGUGCAAAUCGUUCGUCAAACAUGAGUAUAGGGGCGAAAGACUAAUCGAACCAUCUAGUAGCUGGUUCCCUCCGA